This 678-nucleotide long non-coding RNA is filed under the name Zonotrichia albicollis (white-throated sparrow). Its description in RNAcentral is "lncRNA (ENSZALG00000006386.1)". Lineage: Eukaryota; Metazoa; Chordata; Aves; Passeriformes; Passerellidae. The record is from RNAcentral.
AAAAUAGGUUAAAAAUUCAAGCAUUUUUCUAUUUUUCUCUUCAGGAAGAUGAAGGAGGGCAGCAUGACAAUGGCCUGCACCUCACACCCACUGCUCAGAUACACAAUGGGGCUGGGAGGCUUUUCUAAAAACCACUCUGGUCCUGCAUUGAAAUUCUGUCCAGCUGCCUUGGAACGAGAUACAAAGGUGGAUAAAGAAAUCUGGAUCACACAGAUAAGCUGCUCAAGUGAGGACCAGGCACAAUGGAGUGGAAAGCAGGGAUGUUAUGUCCCACAGCCAGCAGUAAAUGCCACCAUGAUUGCAAUGAGCCUGGUGAGGUGUGAAAUGAAGAUUAAUCCUUCCCCAGGCCAAGAACUGCCCCUGCCUGAGACACCUGGAGCUCCACACUGCAUUUCCAGGUGUGCUGUGACUUACCUGGUGCUGCUGUGGGAUAUUCAUUGGAAUAUUCAUUGGGAUAUUCAGUGCUGCUUUUUGGACAAACUUCCUGAUACAGUGUUUAUUAGAACCAGUAUUUGCGAGAAGAAACCUGGCUGUGCUCAUUUCUUGCUGAGGUUUCUCUUCCUGCCCUUGUCUCCAGCUCCAGUCCCUCUCUGCAGAGACCUGCCUGACUGCACGGCUGGGAAACAGCCCCAGGUAUUUGAUCUCUGUUUUAUCUCCUGGUCCUGCUCUGAACACUGA